This 529-nucleotide ribosomal RNA is filed under the name uncultured bacterium. Its description in RNAcentral is "bacterial SSU rRNA". It matches the Rfam family "Bacterial small subunit ribosomal RNA", at positions 371 to 891 of the family's 1533-position model. The record is from RNAcentral.
AUGGGCGCAAGCCUGAUCCAGCAAUGCCGCGUGUGUGAAGAAGGCCUUCGGGUUGUAAAGCACUUUUAUCAGGAGCGAAAUACCAUCGGUCAAUACCCGGUGGGGCUGACGGUACCUGAGGAAUAAGCACCGGCUAACUUCGUGCCAGCAGCCGCGGUAAUACGAAGGGUGCAAGCGUUAAUCGGAAUUACUGGGCGUAAAGGGUGCGUAGGCGGUUGUUUAAGUCUGUUGUGAAAUCCCCGGGUUCAACCUGGGAAUGGCAAUGGAUACUGGGCAGCUAGAGUGUGUCAGAGGAUGGUGGAAUUUCCGGUGUAGCGGUGAAAUGCGUAGAGAUCGGAAGGAACAUCAGUGGCGAAGGCGGCCAUCUGGGACAACACUGACGCUGAAGCACGAAAGCGUGGGGAGCAAACAGGAUUAGAUACCCUGGUAGUCCACGCCCUAAACGAUGCGAACUGGAUGUUGGUCUCAACUCGGAGAUCAGUGUCGAAGCUAACGCGUUAAGUUCGCCGCCUGGGGAGUACGGACGCAA